GCGCCCUUAGCUCAGCCGGAUAGAGCAUCGGACUUCUAAUCCGACGGUCGCAGGUUCGAAUCCUGCAGGGCGCGC
RNAcentral lists this transfer RNA (75 nucleotides) under Planotetraspora mira. RNAcentral's name for it is "tRNA-Arg". It matches the Rfam family "tRNA". From Rfam's summary of the family: Transfer RNA (tRNA) molecules are approximately 80 nucleotides in length. Their secondary structure includes four short double-helical elements and three loops (D, anti-codon, and T loops). Further hydrogen bonds mediate the characteristic L-shaped molecular structure. tRNAs have two regions of fundamental functional importance: the anti-codon, which is responsible for specific mRNA codon recognition, and the 3' end, to which the tRNAs corresponding amino acid is attached (by aminoacyl-tRNA synthetases). tRNAs cope with the degeneracy of the genetic code in two manners: having more than one tRNA (with a specific anti-codon) for a particular amino acid; and 'wobble' base-pairing, i.e. permitting non-standard base-pairing at the 3rd anti-codon position. The record is from RNAcentral. Lineage: Bacteria; Bacillati; Actinomycetota; Actinomycetes; Streptosporangiales; Streptosporangiaceae. RNAcentral also lists the same sequence under 1 other name.